GAAUAAGUGGGCAAACUUUUGAGUUGACUGAAAAGUACAAGAUUAAAUUUACGUUUUUAUAGAAAAACACAUAAUUAAAAAAUUGUUCAUUUAUUUAUAAACAGCUUCAUAUAAUGCUUUAUAAGUAUUUAGACUGAACAUUAUAAUCUUACAUAGAAUCCCAUCUAUAUUAAAGACUUCAAAAGGUAUUUAAUAGAAAAAAUAUAAAAAAGCUAAUCGUAAAUUCAUUACUGUAAUGGCUAAUUUAGUAUGAAACUUAAAGUGAUGAAGUCCCAAAAUCUGAUGCAUAUGCACAACUCUAUCUUUUUCGUGUUUAAUCCAAGUUUUUUUGGGUUUUGCUUUUGAUAAAUUGUCCCAAAAUGAGUUAUCCUCUGAGUAAACAAGUUAGAAGUGAGUCAAUGCUGUUGUUAUUUUAAAACUCAGAGGUUAUUCUUGAUGCUUUAAUAACGUUUCUUUUUAUUUAAAUUAUUCAUUUUUCUUAGAUAUUGAUAAAUGAUCAUGCCAAAUUAUAUAUAAUUUAAAUUUUAUAAACACAUAAUAUAUUUUUUUGUCUUUUAAAUUUUAUUAUUUAUUUUUUUUCUGAGGUUAAUAUAUGUCAAUUCAUAUAAAAGAACACAAUAAUAAAUAAAUAUAUUUGAUUACUUCAAUAAUUUAACUUGAAUAAAACCUGAAAGUAUAUAUGCAGUACUAAGUUAUGAUACUUAAAAGAGGUUGCACAAAACCUUACACCAAUUGUAAGAGACAAGUAAUAUAAUAUAAUACAAUUUAUUUAAAAGUUUCACAUAAUAAUGCAAUACCUCAUUUGGCGCUUCAACUAAUAUCACCACAUCUAAAAUGUCAUUUAAUGAAAUAAUUUUAGAGAAAGAAAAGGCAAACAAACCUUAUUAAGUUUCUUUGAUAUAAAUCCUUAUUUAGUAGCAAAAAAAAUUUAAGUUGUUACUCAUAUAAGAUAUCAUUGUCAAAGAAAUGAGAAUUAUUACAUCUUAAAAAGUUUUUAUAAUAGAAUUUUAUACUGUAAUAAAU
Molecule: unclassified non-coding RNA, 1023 nt
Filed under: Hevea brasiliensis (rubber tree)
Lineage: Eukaryota; Viridiplantae; Streptophyta; Magnoliopsida; Malpighiales; Euphorbiaceae
Source: RNAcentral